RNAcentral lists this long non-coding RNA (385 nucleotides) under Theobroma cacao (cacao). RNAcentral describes it as "long non-coding RNA (TCAC_LNC004514)". The record is from RNAcentral. Lineage: Eukaryota; Viridiplantae; Streptophyta; Magnoliopsida; Malvales; Malvaceae.
UUUUCCUUUUCCACUUUGAGUCCUUCAUGUACCUAUGGGUUUAUUGGCUUACAUGUUACCAAUUUUUCUCCAAUCAAGCCAAUCUUUGCUGCCACAAGGUAUUUCUCUAAGUCACUAACUCAUUUUCAAAGACUACUCAAGCCAAAAAUAAGAAUUCUUACCGUUCCUUGCUUGAAUCACCAAAACCAAGCUUUUUCUUCCUUUCUCUCUUUUUCUUUCUUCUCCUCCUAGGGUUUAGGUGUGUUGGAAAUUGGGGUUAAAGGCUGUAAAUUUAGUGCUCAAGAAGUUUGGAGAAGAAAGAAAAGAAAACAUGGAAAGGAAAAUGAAGAAAACUUGGUUUCAUGGUGGACAAAGAGAAAAUGGCAUGGAAGCUUCAAGAAUGGUG